Molecule: ribosomal RNA, 492 nt
Filed under: uncultured bacterium
Lineage: Bacteria
Description: partial 16S ribosomal RNA
Rfam family: Bacterial small subunit ribosomal RNA
Source: RNAcentral
AGUGAACGCUGGCGGUAGGCCUAACACAUGCAAGUCGAACGGCAGCACAGUAAGAGCUUGCUCUUACGGGUGGCGAGUGGCGUACGGGUGAGGAAUACAUCGGAAUCUACUUUUUCGUGGGGGAUAACGUAGGGAAACUUACGCUAAUACCGCAUACGACCUACGGGUGAAAGCAGGGGAUCUUCGGACCUUUCGCGAUUGAAUGAGCCGAUGUCGGAUUAGCUAGUUGGCGGGGUAAAGGCCCACCAAGGCGACGAUCCGUAGCUGGUCUGAGAGGAUGAUCAGCGACACGGGAAGGGAGACACGGUACAGACUCAUACGGGAGGCAGCAGUGGGGAAUAUUGGACAAUGGGCGCAAGCAUGAUCCAGCCAUACCGCGUGGGUGAAGAAGGAGUUAGGGUUGUAAAGCCCUUUUGUUGGGAAAGAAAAGCAGCAGGUUAAUACCCCGCUGUUCUGACGGUAACCAAAGAAUAAGCACCGGCUAACUUCGUG